Molecule: ribosomal RNA, 665 nt
Filed under: uncultured bacterium
Lineage: Bacteria
Description: bacterial SSU rRNA
Rfam family: Bacterial small subunit ribosomal RNA
Source: RNAcentral
CGGAAUGCUUAACACAUGCAAGUCGCACGGGCCUUUCGGGGUCAGUGGCGGACGGGUGAGUAACGCGUAGGAAUGUGUCCAGGGAUGGGGGAUAACGCUGGGAAACUGGCGCUAAUACCGCAUAUGGCCUGAGGGUCAAAGCCGCGAGGCGUCUUUGGAGCAGCCUGCGUCCGAUUAGGUAGUUGGUGGGGUAAAGGCCUACCAAGCCUGCGAUCGGUAGCUGGUCUGAGAGGAUGAUCAGCCACACUGGAACUGAGACACGGUCCAGACUCCUACGGGAGGCAGCAGUGGGGAAUAUUGGACAAUGGGCGGAAGCCUGAUCCAGCAAUUCCGCGUGGGUGAAGAAGGUCUUCGGAUUGUAAAGCCCUUUCGGCGGGGACGAUGAUGACGGUACCCGCAGAAGAAGCCCCGGCUAACUUCGUGCCAGCAGCCGCGGUAAUACGAAGGGGGCUAGCGUUGCUCGGAAUGACUGGGCGUAAAGGGCGCGUAGGCGGCACACACAGUCAGACGUGAAAUUCCUGGGCUUAACCUGGGGGCUGCGUUUGAUACAUGUGAGCUAGAGGAUGGAAGAGGCUCGUGGAAUUCCCAGUGUAGAGGUGAAAUUCGUAGAUAUUGGGAAGAACACCGGUGGCGAAGGCGGCGAGCUGGUCCAUUACUGACGCUGA